UGAAUACGAGAUGCUACGGCGUCGAAGCAGUCUAUGUCAUACUUCCAAGAAAAGCUUGCACUGUCAUAAACAAAUAAUGCCUGUACCAUAACCGACACAGGUGGGUAGGUAGAGUAUACUAAGGGGCGCGAGAUAACUCUCUCUAAGGAACUCGGCAAAAUGACUCCGUAACUUCGGGAGAAGGAGUGCCUUAUUUAUAAGGUUGCAAUAACAAGAUCCAAGCAACUGUUUACCAAGAACACAGGUCUCCGCUAAGUCGUAAGACGAUGUAUGGGGGCUGACGCCUGCCCAGUGCCAGAAGGUUAAAGAAGUUGGUUAGCAUCCGCGAAGCUGAUAACUGAAGCCCUGGUGAACGGCGGCCGUAACUAUAACGGUCCUAAGGUAGCGAAAUUCCUUGUCGGGUAAGUUCCGACCCGCACGAAAGGCGUAAUGAUUUGGAUACUGUCUCGGAGAGGGGCUCGGUGAAAUAGACUUGUCUGUGAAGAUGCGGACUACCUGCACCAGGACAGAAAGACCCUAUGAAGCUUUACUGUAACCUGAAAUUGAAAUUGGACUUUACUUGCGCAGUAUAGGUGGGAGGCGUUGAGAAUAUUCUUGCGGGAUUAUUGGAGCCAUCAGUGAGAUACCACUCUUGUAAUGUUAGAUUUCUAACUUUGUAUCAUUAUCUGGUCAAAGAACAGUUUCAGGCGGGCAGUUUGACUGGGGCGGUCGCCUCCUAAACGGUAACGGAGGCGCACAAAGGUUUCCUCUGAACGGGUAGAAAUCGUAUCUAGAGUGUAAAGGCAUAAGGAAGCUUGACUGUGAGACCUACAAGUCGAGCAGGGACGAAAGUCGGUCUUAGUGAUCUGACGGUGCUGAGUGGAAAGGCCGUCACUCAACGGAUAAAAGUUACUCUAAGGAUAACAGGCUGAUCUCCCCCAAGAGUUCACAUCGACGGGGAGGUUUGGCACCUCGAUGUCGGCUCAUCGCAUCCUGGGGCGGUAGUACGUCCCAAGGGUUGGGCUGUUCGCCCAUGAAAGCGGUACGCGAGCUGGGUUCAGAACGUCGUGAGACAGUUCGGUCCAUAUCCGGUGUAGGCGUUAGAAUAUUGAGAGGAGCCUUCUUUAGUACGAGAGGACCGAGAAGGACAUACCUCUGGUGUACCAGUUAUCGUGCCAACGGUAAACGCUGGGUAGCUAUGUGUGGAGUGGAUAACCGCUGAAAGCAUCUAAGUGGGAAGCCCACCUCAAGAUAAGUAUUCUCA
RNAcentral lists this ribosomal RNA (1243 nucleotides) under metagenome. RNAcentral's name for it is "bacterial LSU rRNA". It matches the Rfam family "Bacterial large subunit ribosomal RNA", at positions 1564 to 2816 of the family's 2925-position model. The record is from RNAcentral.